Molecule: ribosomal RNA, 506 nt
Filed under: uncultured bacterium
Lineage: Bacteria
Description: partial 16S ribosomal RNA
Rfam family: Bacterial small subunit ribosomal RNA
Source: RNAcentral
AUUGAACGCUAACGGCGUGCUUAACACAUGCAAGUCGAACGGCAGCACAGCAGUAGCAAUACUGUGGGUGGCGAGUGGCGGACGGGUGAGUAAUGCAUAGGAAUCUGCCUUGUAAUGGGGGAUAACCCGGGGAAACUCGGGCUAAUACCGCAUAAUCCUUACGAAGCAAAGGGGGGGACCGUAAGGCCUCACGUUAUAAGAUUAGACUAUGUUGGAGUAGCUAGUUGGUAGGGUAAAGGCCUACCAAGGCGACGAUCCAUAGCUGGUCUGAGAGGAUGAUCAGCCACACUGGGACUGAGACACGGCCCAGACUCCUACGGGAGGCAGCAGUGGGGAAUAUUGGACAAUGGGGGAAACCCUGAUCCAGCAACGCCGUGUGUGUGAAGAAGGCCUUAGGGUUGUAAAGCACUUUCAGUAGGGAAGAAAAGCUUAAGGGUAAUAUCCUUGAGUAUUGACGUUACCUACAGAAGAAGCACUGGCUAACUCUGUGCCAGCCGCCGCGGUAA